CCUACGGGAGGCAGCAGUGGGGAAUAUUGGGCAAUGGGCGCAAGCCUGACCCAGCAACGCCGCGUGAAGGAAGAAGGCUUUCGGGUUGUAAACUUCUUUUCUCAGGGACGAAGAAAGUGACGGUACCUGAGGAAUAAGCCACGGCUAACUACGUGCCAGCAGCCGCGGUAAUACGUAGGUGGCAAGCGUUAUCCGGAUUUAUUGGGUGUAAAGGGCGUGUAGGCGGGAGCGCAAGUCAGAUGUGAAAACUCAGGGCUCAACCCUGAGCCUGCAUUUGAAACUGUGUUUCUUGAGUGCUGGGGAGGCAAUCGGAAUGCCGUGUGUAGCGGUGAAAUGCGUAGAUAUACGGAGGAACACCAGUGGCGAAGGCGGAUUGCUGGACAGUAACUGACGCUGAGGCGCGAAAGCGUGGGGAGCAAACAGGAUUAGAUACCCCAGUAGUC
Molecule: ribosomal RNA, 443 nt
Filed under: uncultured bacterium
Lineage: Bacteria
Description: partial 16S ribosomal RNA
Rfam family: Bacterial small subunit ribosomal RNA
Source: RNAcentral